This 274-nucleotide ribosomal RNA is filed under the name uncultured bacterium. RNAcentral's name for it is "partial 16S ribosomal RNA". It matches the Rfam family "Bacterial small subunit ribosomal RNA", at positions 523 to 796 of the family's 1533-position model. The record is from RNAcentral.
AUACGGAGGGUGCGAGCGUUAUCCGGAUUUAUUAGGUUUAAAGGGUGUGUAGGCGGGAGCCUAAGUCAGUGGUGAAAUCUCACAGCUUAACUGUGAAACUGCCAUUGAAACUGGGUUUCUUGAGUAUAGUUGAGGUAGGCGGAAUGCGUAAUGUAGCGGUGAAAUGCAUAGAUAUUACACAGAACACCGAUUGCGAAGGCAGCUUACUAAGCUAUUACUGACGCUGAUGCACGAAAGCGUGGGUAGCGAACAGGAUUAGAUACCCCGGUAGUCC